Molecule: ribosomal RNA, 497 nt
Filed under: uncultured bacterium
Lineage: Bacteria
Description: partial 16S ribosomal RNA
Rfam family: Bacterial small subunit ribosomal RNA
Source: RNAcentral
GAUGAACGCUGGCGGCGUGCCUAAUACAUGCAAGUCGAGCGAACAGACGAGGAGCUUGCUCCUCUGACGUUAGCGGCUGACGGGUGAGUAACACGUGGAUAACCUACCUAUAAUACUGGGAUAACUUCGGGAAACCGGAGCUAAUACCGGAUAAUAUAUUGAACCGCAUAGUUCAAUAGUGAAAGACGGUUUUGCUGUCACUUAUAGAUGGAUCCGCGCCGCAUUAGCUAGUUGGUAAGGUAACGGCUUACCAAGGCAACGAUGCGUAGCCGACCUGAGAGGGUGAUCAGCCACACUGGAACUGAGACACGGUCCAGACUCCUACGGGAGGCAGCAGUAGGGAAUAUUCCGCAAUGGGCGCAAGCCUGACGGAGCCACGCCGCGUGAGUGAUGAAGGUCUUCGGAUCGUAAAACUCUGUUAUUAGGGAAGAACAACUGUGUAAGUAACUAUGCACGUCUUGACGGUACCUAAUCAGAAAGCCACGGCUAACUACGUG